AACGAACGCUGGCGGCAUGCCUAACACAUGCAAGUCGAACGAGACCUUCGGGUCUAGUGGCGCACGGGUGCGUAACGCGUGGGAACCUGCCCUUAGGUUCGGAAUAACUCCCCGAAAGGGGUGCUAAUACCGGAUAAUGUCUUCGGACCAAAGAUUUAUCGCCUUUGGAUGGGCCCGCGUUGGAUUAGCUAGUUGGUAGGGUAAAAGCCUACCAAGGCGACGAUCCAUAGCUGGUCUGGGAGGAUGAUCAGCCACACUGGGACUGAGACACGGCCCAGACGCGGGCGGGAGGCAGCGGGGGGGAGCAAGGGACGAGGACCGUAAGCCUGGCACAGGAGGGGAGUGUUAGUGAAGGAGGGCUUAGCGUAGAAAGCCUCUGUGCGGGGGUAAUAAAGGGAUUAGGGCGGGAAAAUAAUCUCCGGCUAACUGAGAACGAGAGGCCGGGGAAAAAGAGCGCCGACUAACUCCGUC
Molecule: ribosomal RNA, 471 nt
Filed under: uncultured bacterium
Lineage: Bacteria
Description: partial 16S ribosomal RNA
Rfam family: Bacterial small subunit ribosomal RNA (bases 20-302)
Source: RNAcentral